GCUUCCUAACUAUAACCAAUGUCAUGUUCCGGGGUCUUUUAGCUCCUUUGUGGAGUUUUUGUGCAUGCACUCGUUUUUCUCCACCACUAGAUGGCGCCUUUACCAUUCCGUCGGAGGGCGUGGAUGACGUCAUCCCACACCUGAUGUGAGUUUUGGCUCAUCAGCGAGAUGUUCAAGAGGAGCUGACUGCCAGUCCUUCGGCGCCUGAGUGUUAGCCAGUCACGGUGUUUCCUCCUGGCUCCUCUACAACCGCUGAUCCUGAGCCUACCUGUCCGCCCUCCGACGUACUCCCUUUGCCUCCUGGAUCCCCGCUGUCAGACAAGACGACCACCUGGAACCUCUGAGAACUAAAACCCCGGACGCUGCAGUUACCCUCUCACUUCUCUAACCUGCCGAUCACAAGUAAGAUCUGCCCCUUCACUCUUAACGUUGUCAUUUCCUACAAACCUGAACUCAUCACCUCCCUCUGCCUCUCUAGUGAACUGUUUGUUCCCUGAACCAGCCUCUCUCCCUGGACCCGACCCAAGCCAACUAUUCCUGCCAGCAGUGUUUUCAAUAAAUUUCUUUAUUUUCA
Molecule: long non-coding RNA, 574 nt
Organism: Xiphophorus hellerii (green swordtail)
Lineage: Eukaryota; Metazoa; Chordata; Actinopteri; Cyprinodontiformes; Poeciliidae
Exons: 2
Source: RefSeq, a predicted model, not a curated record